Molecule: ribosomal RNA, 233 nt
Filed under: uncultured bacterium
Lineage: Bacteria
Description: partial 16S ribosomal RNA
Rfam family: Bacterial small subunit ribosomal RNA
Source: RNAcentral
UGAGUAACCUGCCCUUAACUCUGGGAUAAGCCUGGGAAACUGGGUCUAAUACCGGAUAUGACUCCUCAUCGCAUGGUGGGGGGUGGAAAGCUUUUUGUGGUUUUGGAUGGACUCGCGGCCUAUCAGCUUGUUGGUGAAGUAAUGGCUCACCAAGGCGACGACGGGUAGCUGGCCUGAGAGGGUGACCGGCCACACUGGGACUGAGACACGGCCCAGACUCCUACGGGAGGCAG